Molecule: ribosomal RNA, 447 nt
Filed under: uncultured bacterium
Lineage: Bacteria
Description: bacterial SSU rRNA
Rfam family: Bacterial small subunit ribosomal RNA
Source: RNAcentral
CCCAGACUCCUACGGGAGGCAGCAGUGGGGGAUAUUGCACAAUGGGGGAAACCCUGAUGCAGCGACGCCGCGUGGGCGAAGAAGUAUUUCGGUAUGUAAAGCCCUAUCAGCAGGGAAGAAGAAAUGACGGUACCUGAGUAAGAAGCACCGACUAAAUACGUGCCAGCAGCCGCGGUAAUACGUAUGGUGCAAGCGUUAUCCGGAUUUACUGGGUGUAAAGGGAGCGUAGACGGCGAAGAAAGUCUGAAGUGAAAGCCCGCGGCUCAACCGCGGAACUGCUUUGGAAACUUUUUUGCUGGAGUACCGGAGAGGUAAGCGGAAUUCCUAGUGUAGCGGUGAAAUGCGUAGAUAUUAGGAGGAACACCAGUGGCGAAGGCGGCUUACUGGACGGUAACUGACGUUGAGGCUCGAAAGCGUGGGGAGCAAACAGGAUUAGAUACCCUAGUA